AGCGGAUUCACUAUCUGCACUACCUCUUUUUAAGAAAACAGGUUUUUGGCACUGUGGUGAGGAUGCAAAGAGAAAGUGGCUGCCUGCAAACCAGGAGGAGAGCCCUCACCAGGAACCAAUCUAGCUGACACCUUGAACUUGGACUUCACACCUCCAGUAUUGUGAAAAAUAAAUAUGUUUUCAAAGUC
This 188-nucleotide long non-coding RNA is filed under the name Pongo abelii (Sumatran orangutan). Its description in RNAcentral is "lincRNA". Lineage: Eukaryota; Metazoa; Chordata; Mammalia; Primates; Hominidae. The record is from RNAcentral.